Molecule: ribosomal RNA, 440 nt
Filed under: uncultured bacterium
Lineage: Bacteria
Description: partial 16S ribosomal RNA
Rfam family: Bacterial small subunit ribosomal RNA
Source: RNAcentral
CCUACGGGUGGCAGCAGUGGGGAAUAUUGCACAAUGGGGGAAACCCUGAUGCAGCGACGCCGCGUGAGUGAAGAAGUAUCUCGGUACGUAAAGCCUCAUCUGCCGGGAAGCAAAUGCCGGUACCUGACUACGAAGCCGCGGCUCACUACGUGACACAAGCCGCGGGAACUUGUCGGGGGCCGGCGUUAUCCGGAUUUACUGGGCGUAAAGGGAGUGUAGACGGCAGCGCAAGUCUGGAGGGAAAUCCCAGGGCAUAACCAUGGAACUGCUUUUGAAACUGGGCGGCUGGAGUGCAGGAGAGGUAAGCGGAAUGCGCAGUGUAGCGGUGAAAUGCGUAGAUAUUAGGAGGAACACCGGUUGCGAAGGCAGCAUACUGGACUGUAACUGACGUUGAGGCACGAAAGCGUGGGGAUCGAACAGGAUUAGAUACCCUUGUAGUC